RNAcentral lists this ribosomal RNA (496 nucleotides) under uncultured bacterium. RNAcentral describes it as "partial 16S ribosomal RNA". It matches the Rfam family "Bacterial small subunit ribosomal RNA", at positions 28 to 507 of the family's 1533-position model. The record is from RNAcentral.
GACGAACGCUGGCGGCGUGCCUAAUACAUGCAAGUUGAGCGCUGAAGGUUGGUACUUGUACCAACUGGAUGAGCAGCGAACGGGUGAGUAACGCGUGGGGAAUCUGCCUUGAGCGGGGGACAACAUUUGGAAACGAAUGCUAAUACCGCAUAAAAACUUUAAACACAAGUUUUAAGUUUUAAAGAUGCAAUUGCAUCACUCAAAGAUGAUCCCGCGUUGUAUUAGCUAGUUGGUGAGGUAAAGGCUCACCAAGGCGAUGAUACAUAGCCGACCUGAGAGGGUGAUCGGCCACAUUGGGACUGAGACACGGCCCAAACUCCUACGGGAGGCAGCAGUAGGGAAUCUUCGGCAAUGGACGAAAGUCUGACCGAGCAACGCCGCGUGAGUGAAGAGGGUUUUCGGAUCGUAAAACUCUGUUGGUAGAGAAGAACGUUGGUGAGAGUGGAAAGCUCAUCAAGUGACGGUAACUACCCAGAAAGGGACGGCUAACUACGUG